GACAUAGGUGGCAAACGUUAUCCGGAAUUAUUGGGCGUAAAGAGCUCGUAGGCGGUUUGUCGCGUCUGGUGUGAAAUCCCGAGGCUCAACCUCGGGCCUGCAGUGGGUACGGGCAGACUGGAGUGCGGUAGGGGAGAAUGGAAUUCCUGGUGUAGCGGUGGAAUGCGUAGAUAUCGGAAGGAACAUCAGUGGCGAAAGCGGCUUCCUGGACCAGUACCGACGUUCAGGCACGAAAGCGUGGGGAGCAAACAGG
Molecule: ribosomal RNA, 253 nt
Filed under: uncultured bacterium
Lineage: Bacteria
Description: partial 16S ribosomal RNA
Rfam family: Bacterial small subunit ribosomal RNA
Source: RNAcentral